AAAAACAAAAGAAGCCAACAAUAUGGUUCACAAUGUAUCCAACUUUAUACCCCACCAUACCUUGUAGGAGCGGAGGAGGAGCCUUCGUCGUUGCCACAAACUCUAUGAGAACAUUAUUUUAGGGAUUAGGUGCCGCUGAAGAUAUGAAUGUUAUUAAGGUAACUGCUGCUGGCUCCAAAGUCAUGAUCAAAAUAAAAAUGGGGAGGCAUCCUGAAAUCAAAGCCAAACAUAAAAUAAAUAUAAUGUGUGAUGGCUAUGCUAACCAACACUGAUGUCAAGCUACUAUAUACAGUAACAUAGCAUGUGCCAUGACUUUCCUCAAAGUCAUUGUAGAGUUAUGUUAAUUUCUCCUCUAAUGUAUCCAACACUCCAACAGCUUAAUGGGGAGACCCUAGUGUACAAAUGUUCACAGAGAGUUGGUUCUUAACUCUAACUAAGUUAGAUUUAAUAUUAUUUGCAAGAACAACCUUUGGUUCAACAUCAGAGCCAAGCAUCCAGGAGCGCUGCAAGCCGUCAAAUACACUCAGACAGAGAGGAGUGUCCCUACAGAGUGAAGAAAACCCAGUUAUUGAUACUUGACCAAACGGAGAAAGCACACAUAUGUUUAAGGAGGGAAAUAAAUUUGCAAAAGGCUAGUCGUGGUUGUCGUGACAUACCUAUCAUGCCUUAUAGUUGCCAUAUGGCAUUGAGUACUAUGGGUCUCUUUGUUGUAAACUGUUCUAAUAUAACCAACUUCCCCAACGUAUCUGUCACAACCAAGACAACAUUAUGGAACCUACCAAUGAAUUGUAUAAUAAAAUUAUGGAUCCCUUAUAAAGGAUGUUUAACGAUUUAAACCUGGCCACUCAGUAUUCGUGUUGGCAAGUGCGAAAAGCCGGUCGUAAUUGCAGAACCGAGAACUCUUCCUCGGGAUAGGUCAUUGCCUCAUUGGUUUAAGUGAGCUCAACAAAGACGGUAUGUUCGGUGAACCUAAUAGUUUAAAAUUAUAUUAAAGACUCUUAUAAUUAAGUCCAAAUUCAGUUAAUGAAAACUUCCCAAAUUAACUCAUAAUUUUCUUUGAAAUACAAAUUUGAAUAAUUAAUUCAAUCAAAUGCGAAAGUUAUCUAUAAGAUAGUGAAACAUUAAUCUUAUAAUUAAACACAUUAACCUACUUUGAGGAUUAAAACAUUGAGAGGUCUUAAUGUAAUAAUGAAAUCUGCCUACUGGACUUUAUUUGAAGCCUACUUCAUAACUUAAUCUUAUAAUUAAACACUAGGGGAAUUCCGGCGCGUAGUUUGGUUUCUCUUUUGAAUUCUAUUAGUUUCAUUUUCAUCUGUUAGUCCAAGUGAGUCUGAAUUGUUAGUUCUUGCCAAUGAAGAUUUGAGGGUCAUGCCUAUUUUAUAAAAAAAGAAAAGAUUUGAGGGUGUUGAACUAAUAAUUGAUUUGAUGAGAAUCUCUAGAUGUUAUGUCAAUGCGUUUCUGACUCUUGCUGAGUGGAUAUGAUAAAAAAAAUACUUAUGGGUUAGAUACAGUUUUUUGGUUUACGUAUGUAUUAAGGAUUUUAUUUAUUUCUUUAAUUUUAGGAGUCAGUACAGGAGAGAGUAAUAAUAUAUUUUAAAAGUAAAGGAAAAAACAAAUUAAAGAUUUUUUUAUUUAUGAUUGAAGAAAUGUAAAAUGAGGUUUGUCUUUAAAAAUCAAAGGAAACAAUGACAUAUUUUAUUUUAUCUAUGAGCAAUGUAAUCGACAAAUUUCUCAACUCUUAAGAAGUAGUAACAAUUCUUGUUUAGGUGAUUUAUGUUUUGGAGAUCGCAACUUUUGGAAGGUUUGAGUCUAGCCAUGUUUUUUAGAUAUAUGUCCUCCAGUUGAAUAGGAUACACACUGAGGUUUUCUUAAUAUUCCUCCAGCAACACUCGGAUGUAGGUAGUGGGUGUUCCCAGUCUAGGGUAUUUGGGAACUUUUUUUCCUUCUUUGAUCUUUAAUACGUACCCUUGUUGUAUUUUCCACCUAUCUGCUUGAGAAUAGAAUGGUGAGAUGAGUUUUUGAGAAUAUCUGCUUGUCUUGGUAUUGCUUUUGUAAGACGGUUUUUCUAAUUACUGGAGAGUAAUUAGUGGAUGAAUAAAGUUUGCCUAUUAGCCAUUUUAAUUUGAAUAUAUAAGACACUAACAAUUCUGCACCGUUUUAUAACGUACACCCCCACGAUUCUCCACUUCAUUAAAAAUAUUUUCUGAUAUUUAGACGCCGAUAUGAAUCUUGUGAUUUCUUGCACUUCGUUUCUUUUUUAACCCGGGUCUUUGUUCGACAAAUAUUUGGAACACUGACCUUUAAGAUGGAAUUAACAGCGUUAAAUGCUUAAAGAGUUUUAGAAAUGUAUUUCAUAUUAAUCUGGUUUAUGAAUCUGGGUUUGUUUCCACAAAUCUCAAAAACAGAAAAAAAAGAAAGAAAAAAAAACAAAAGAAGCCAACAAUAUGGUUCACAAUGUAUCCAACUUUAUACCCCACCAUACCUUGUAGGAGCGGAGGAGGAGCCUUCGUCGUUGCCACAAACUCUAUGAGAACAUUAUUUUAGGGAUUAGGUGCCGCUGAAGAUAUGAAUGUUAUUAAGGUAACUGCUGCUGGCUCCAAAGUCAUGAUCAAAAUAAAAAUGGGGAGGCAUCCUGAAAUCAAAGCCAAACAUAAAAUAAAUAUAAUGUGUGAUGGCUAUGCUAACCAACACUGAUGUCAAGCUACUAUAUACAGUAACAUAGCAUGUGCCAUGACUUUCCUCAAAGUCAUUGUAGAGUUAUGUUAAUUUCUCCUCUAAUGUAUCCAACACUCCAACAGCUUAAUGGGGAGACCCUAGUGUACAAAUGUUCACAGAGAGUUGGUUCUUAACUCUAACUAAGUUAGAUUUAAUAUUAUUUGCAAGAACAACCUUUGGUUCAA
This 2900-nucleotide long non-coding RNA is filed under the name Brassica napus (rape). RNAcentral's name for it is "long non-coding RNA (BNAP_LNC000407)". The record is from RNAcentral. Lineage: Eukaryota; Viridiplantae; Streptophyta; Magnoliopsida; Brassicales; Brassicaceae.